Onychostoma macrolepis is the source of this 823-nucleotide long non-coding RNA. RefSeq lists it as uncharacterized. The record is from RefSeq and is a predicted model, not a curated record. NCBI's taxonomy places the organism in Eukaryota, Metazoa, Chordata, Actinopteri, Cypriniformes, Cyprinidae. The transcript is spliced from 3 exons.
GUUAUCAAGUCCAGUAACACAACUUUCUCCAGCGCUUUAUACAGUUCAGAUCGUUUCAAAGCAGCUUCACAGCAAUAAACAGGAGAAUAACGUGUUGCAAGAUUCAUCAGCCAUGAAACUAGUUCAGUUUAAGGACUGCAGGAGAUAACGGUGUCAUUAUUCAGGCCAGGUUCGGUGAGCGUCUCGCAGCUGGCGGUUCGUGCUGUCAGACGCAUGCGGAUCCGAAGGAGAAGGGCAAAGGGCAGAGGUCACAGAACUGAUGAGGGCUAGAGGUUUCACAACACUUUCAGCUGCAGUGGCACAAGAUACACAUCAGAUCCAGAGGAAACAGGUGUGUGUGUGUGUGUGUGUGUGUGUGGCCACCUGGAGGACAAACACAUCUCAGGGAGACAGACUGUGGAGGAAGUAGAAAUACAUCUGAGGAAAGAACGCCGGACGUCCUGCUGACUUUCUCCGUCUGAAGAUGAUGAGAGACUCUCGCCGCUGCCAAACAACAACACGGCCCACAAAGUCUGGACGAGAUACUGAGCUGAAUUUAUGAACGGACCGCCGGACGAACCUUGAGAGCUUCAUUAAUAACACUCACGGACUCUGGUGACAAACACAUGAACUGCUGUCCUCUGUUUGCCUCUCGCUGUGAGAGAAGAGUCUCAGUGCAAACAGAAUCCAUCUGUCCAUGCCGCAAAUAAAAAUAAAUAAUCUGACCAAAAUAUGUUUUAAAUAUAUGUUGUAAACAGUGAAUCUCAAUGAAAUACAUUUUUGCAAUUUUGCAAUUGGUUUCAACGUUUAUAUACCGAAAUAUAUUUUUAAAAUACAUCUCCAA